UGGAAAGGAACAGGACAGAACACCCUUUAGUCCAAAUUCCUCCAGCUCUUCCCCAGCACAGCAUGUAUACACAGAUCCAACACAACUUGUAUGAGGUCCAUGCUUAUCCCUCAUCUCAAAACUGUUUCCUGCACUAUUUGCACUAACUUUCAGAGGAGUAAAAGAGUGCAUGACAUCUCUCUGGUCAUGCCCCUAAUUGUCAGAUGUAGAACUAUAGAAAAUUGCAGAGAGAAAAAACAAAGCAGUGACAAAAGGCAAAGUGGGCAAGGCAUCCUUCCAUCCCUUGUCCCAAAGCAUACUGUAAUCUUCAUUCUGCUGCUCUCCUAAUGUGGCUGCAGUGGCUAUUUUGAAGGAUGCUCUCAUGCCACCUGAUACAUUGGCAGUAUUGAUGUCAGCAGGGGUGCCUCGUUCCAUUCACAGCUGUGUGAUGCCUUCAUCUCACACAGCACAGACAAUGCAGGGUGGUUCCCUGGAGUGCUGCCCUUGCAGAGUGAAGACUGUUAACUGGGCACAAGCAGAUGCUGCUCUUUCUUUCAGGAUAAACUGCUGGUCUCCCAUGUGCUCCUCCAUGCCUAUGGUCUUGGCCAUAGGUUCAACCUUGUUCCAGUGUCUCACUCUUACUCUGCUGAAUGAACCAGGCAAUGGUGGUUGUACAGCUGUGAAGGAAUGCUUGGAGAAAUAAAGAGCCCAUUACUUUUUGCCCUAAUAAUAUAACAGAUGAUAUUUCAUUAUUAAAUGAACUUUUCUUUCUCCUCCAGGAAUUCACUGUGGCAUGUUUGGAUACCAGGGUUGUGUGUACUUACAAUGUCGGUAUCUUCAUUUCAAAACCUUGCCUUCCUGAAUGCAAGAUGUUGCAAUUUCUGGUUACUUACACAAAACAGUCCUGAAUGGCAUGACUUGCACCCUGGAAUUUCAGAAGGAAAAUCUGGGAGAGGGGGUAACCAUUUGGUUCUGAGAGAGGACCACAGAAUUCAGAGUAUUUUCAGGUUUGCUGCUGGCGAACUCGGUUUGUAAAUUCACUUACAAGCUCAACAAACAAUGAAUAAAAACUAGACAGCUUGCCUGUGCUCUUGAUAA
This 1077-nucleotide long non-coding RNA is filed under the name Phasianus colchicus (ring-necked pheasant). Its description in RNAcentral is "lncRNA (ENSPCLG00000018521.1)". The record is from RNAcentral. Lineage: Eukaryota; Metazoa; Chordata; Aves; Galliformes; Phasianidae.